UCAGCUAUCCAGCAUGGCCAUGAUGAAUUGGGAUCGAGUGCUACUUGCUAGAUACUCUCGGCUGCCGUCACCACCGCCCCACCAUGCCGCCUCUCGGUUGGCCAGAGCCUGGAGGGUAUCAACGGUGCUAGUGAGCACCCUUCCCCCUCCCCCAUCCUCCCUUCCUCAAGACAUGUGAAUCCCCAUUACCCGAUCCGCCUCCUCAUUACAAGUUUUGCUUUGCCUCACCACCAACGGCGCCCUGCCGCCCUUUUACAUCCCUGAGGCUUCGGCACCAUCGCCGACGCCUUGCCACCCGCCCAUAUCCAUCACCCGCCGCUGGGCCGUCGCCUCCCACGGUCAUCGCUCUAAGCCUAGCCCCUAUCUCCCUCCCUCACCCCAACCCGAGACCCUAAACCCUAACUCAUCGUCAGAAUUGGAGGAGUUGCAGAGGUCGCCGAUGCACAAAACGUGAAGCAAUCAUAAGGUCAGAAAUUUACAAGAUUUUCUGUAAAAUGCUAUUUAGCAAUUCCUUUUUUAAUAGAUAAACGACGAGACAAUGGAGAAAGCUGGCGAUAGAGAAAACUCUUCACAUGAGCCGAACCUACUGUAAGAUCCACUUGUAAGUAAUAGUUCAGUUGAUUUAUUUUAGUCAAGUGAUGUAUAAUAACACAAUCCACCCCCUACAAUCAUUCUCCCAUGUGUCAACAAACAACUAAAAAAAACCCAAACCCUGCAUGCAAGAUCACGGGAAAAAGCGUAACAUCAUUACAAUUUACAGCUUGGAUGUAGUAAUUUCAGAUGCAGCUAGCAAGUAGGGCACAGGUUCAUCCAGUUUACUCACCACCGAAUGGGCAUCAUGGCAAAGGCGAUCAAAUAGUGUCACAGGUCAACAGGAGCACAGCCCAGGCCUCAGUCACAGGAAUCAUGAGCCACUGAGCAAGCAUGCAAAUGUGCACUGAAAAUCUGAAACUUCUGAAGCCUGAAGCUGCAUGCCACUCGAUGCCAAAGAGGCCAAGUGACUGGAGGAUUCAUCGGUAGCAUGGAUAGGGUGGAUGUGAAGGAAGAAAGAGAGUAGAAGAAGAAAAGAUGAACAAAAAUUUGCUCAUUUGCAUGGCAAAGAUCACACGAAGCACACAGGAGGCUUGCCCUUGCUGAGAAGAAAAAGGCCCUUUCUUUUUCUUCUUUCUGAAGAUCUGAAGAAUUUUCAGUCAUGUGAGGCAAAUAACUAGUAGCUAGCCAAUUGGUUUCAGUUCAGUGUUCAUGCAUCAUGCAUGCCCAGGUCACUGUGAUUUCUGAAGCUGUAGCGAACUGAAGAUCAAAACAUUCCAUCAGAGAGCAGAAAUGAGUCCAGCUCGUCAUGAUUUUGCACUGUCACAGUCGAUUCUUCUUGUUGGAUUCUAUGAGCCCAUACAAGCUGGGGUUCUCCCCUCUUCCACAUGACUGCAACUGUAGACAUGCAGAAUAUUAGUGAUAAAAUCAAUAAUUGUUUCUUCCAAUUGCAA
Molecule: long non-coding RNA, 1484 nt
Organism: Oryza sativa Japonica Group (Japanese rice)
Lineage: Eukaryota; Viridiplantae; Streptophyta; Magnoliopsida; Poales; Poaceae
Source: RefSeq, a predicted model, not a curated record